UACGGGGGGUGCGAGCGUUGUCCGGAAUCACUGGGCGUAAAGGGCGCGUAGGUGGCGUGAUAAGGGUGUGGUGAAAGCCCGGGGCUCAACCCCGGGUCGGCCAUGCCGACUGUCAGGCUAGAGUGCUGUAGGGGCAGGCGGAAUUCCGGGUGUAGCGGUGGAAUGCGUAGAGAUCCGGAGGAAGACCGGUGGCGAAGGCGGCCUGCUGGGCAGUUACUGACACUGAGGCGCGACAGCGUGGGGAGCGAACAGG
Molecule: ribosomal RNA, 253 nt
Filed under: uncultured bacterium
Lineage: Bacteria
Description: partial 16S ribosomal RNA
Rfam family: Bacterial small subunit ribosomal RNA
Source: RNAcentral